This 2333-nucleotide ribosomal RNA is filed under the name Acinetobacter baumannii 1062314. RNAcentral's name for it is "bacterial LSU rRNA". It matches the Rfam family "Bacterial large subunit ribosomal RNA", at positions 609 to 2925 of the family's 2925-position model. The record is from RNAcentral. Lineage: Bacteria; Pseudomonadati; Pseudomonadota; Gammaproteobacteria; Moraxellales; Moraxellaceae.
UGUAUAAUGGGUCAGCGACUUAUAUUCAGUAGCGAGGUUAACCGUAUAGGGGAGCCGUAGAGAAAUCGAGUCUUAAUAGGGCGUUUAGUUGCUGGGUAUAGACCCGAAACCAGGCGAUCUAUCCAUGAGCAGGUUGAAGGUUGGGUAACACUAACUGGAGGACCGAACCCACUGUCGUUGAAAAGCCAGGGGAUGACUUGUGGAUAGGGGUGAAAGGCUAAUCAAGCCUGGUGAUAGCUGGUUCUCCCCGAAAGCUAUUUAGGUAGCGCCUCGGACGAAUACCAUAGGGGGUAGAGCACUGUUUCGGCUAGGGGGUCAUCCCGACUUACCAAACCGAUGCAAACUCCGAAUACCUAUGAGUACUAUCCGGGAGACAGACUGCGGGUGCUAACGUCCGUAGUCAAGAGGAAAACAAUCCAGACCGCCAGCUAAGGCCCCAAAAUCAUAGUUAAGUGGGAAACGAUGUGGGAAGGCAUAGACAGCUAGGAGGUUGGCUUAGAAGCAGCCACCCUUUAAAGAAAGCGUAAUAGCUCACUAGUCGAGUCGGCCUGCGCGGAAGAUGUAACGGGGCUAAAACUAUGUGCCGAAGCUGCGGAUGUAUACUUUGUAUACGUGGUAGGGGAGCGUUCUGUAAGCCGAUGAAGGUGUGUUGAGAAGCAUGCUGGAGGUAUCAGAAGUGCGAAUGCUGACGUGAGUAACGACAAAACGGGUGAAAAACCCGUUCGCCGAAAGACCAAGGGUUCCAGUCCAACGUUAAUCGGGGCUGGGUGAGUCGACCCCUAAGGCGAGGCCGAAAGGCGUAGUCGAUGGGAAAAUGGUUAAUAUUCCAUUACUUCUGUGUAAUGCGAUGAGAGGACGGAGAAGGCUAAAUCAGCCUGGCGUUGGUUGUCCAGGUGAAAGGAUGUAGGCAUGUAUCUUAGGCAAAUCCGGGGUACUCUAUGCUGAGAUCUGAUAGCAAGCUGUACUUGUACAGCGAAGUGGUUGAUGCCAUGCUUCCAGGAAAAGUCUCUAAGCUUCAGUUACACAGGAAUCGUACCCGAAACCGACACAGGUGGUCAGGUCGAGUAGACCAAGGCGCUUGAGAGAACUCUGCUGAAGGAACUAGGCAAAAUGGUACCGUAACUUCGGGAGAAGGUACGCUGUUGUUGGUGAUGGAACUCGCUUCCUGAGCUGACGACAGCCGCAGAAACCAGGCCGCUGCAACUGUUUAUUAAAAACAUAGCACUCUGCAAACACGAAAGUGGACGUAUAGGGUGUGAUGCCUGCCCGGUGCUGGAAGGUUAAUUGAUGGGGUUAGCGUAAGCGAAGCUCUUGAUCGAAGCCCCAGUAAACGGCGGCCGUAACUAUAACGGUCCUAAGGUAGCGAAAUUCCUUGUCGGGUAAGUUCCGACCUGCACGAAUGGCAUAAUGAUGGCGGCGCUGUCUCCAGCAGAGGCUCAGUGAAAUCGAAAUCGCUGUGAAGAUGCAGUGUACCCGCGGCUAGACGGAAAGACCCCGUGAACCUUUACUGCAGCUUGACACUGAACUUUGACCUUACUUGUGUAGGAUAGGUGGGAGGCUUUGAAGCUGGAACGCUAGUUCCAGUGGAGCCGUCCUUGAAAUACCACCCUGGUAAUGUUGAGGUUCUAACUCUGUCCCGUGAUCCGGGACGAGGACCGUGUCUGGUGGGUAGUUUGACUGGGGCGGUCUCCUCCUAAAGAGUAACGGAGGAGUACGAAGGUGCGCUCAGCGUGGUCGGAAAUCACGCGUAGAGUAUAAAGGCAAAAGCGCGCUUAACUGCGAGACCCACAAGUCGAGCAGGUACGAAAGUAGGUCUUAGUGAUCCGGUGGUUCUGUAUGGAAGGGCCAUCGCUCAACGGAUAAAAGGUACUCUGGGGAUAACAGGCUGAUACCGCCCAAGAGUUCAUAUCGACGGCGGUGUUUGGCACCUCGAUGUCGGCUCAUCUCAUCCUGGGGCUGAAGCAGGUCCCAAGGGUAUGGCUGUUCGCCAUUUAAAGAGGUACGCGAGCUGGGUUUAGAACGUCGUGAGACAGUUCGGUCCCUAUCUACCGUGGGCGCUGGAAAUUUGAGAGGAUCUGCUCCUAGUACGAGAGGACCAGAGUGGACGAACCUCUGGUGUACCGGUUGUGACGCCAGUCGCAUCGCCGGGUAGCUAUGUUCGGAAGGGAUAACCGCUGAAAGCAUCUAAGCGGGAAGCCUACCUCAAGAUAAGAUUUCCCUAGGACUUUAUGUCCUCUAAAGAGCCGUUCGAGACUAGGACGUUGAUAGGUUGGAUGUGGAAGCAUAGUGAUAUGUGAAGCUGACCAAUACUAAUUGCUCGUGAGGCUUGACUA